GGAAUGAUGGUGACUUAAACCCUCACCAGAGUACCAAUUGGAGGGCAAGUCUGGUGCCAGCAGCCGCGGUAAUUCCAGCUCCAAUAGCGUAUAUUAAACUUGUUGCAGUUAAAAAGCUCGUAGUUGAAUUUCAGCGUUUCGCGUGUGCCUCUUUUGGCCCAUCUCGUCUCGCUUUUUUUAUUACUUUGAGAAAAUUAGAGUGUUUCAAGCAGGCUUUUGUCUUGAAUACUUGAGCAUGGAAUAAUAGAGUAGGACCUUGGUUCUAUUUUGUUGGUUUUGUUACCUUGGUAAUGGUUAAUAGGAACGGUUGGGGGCAUUCGUAUUUAACUGUCAGAGGUGAAAUUCUUAG
This 349-nucleotide ribosomal RNA is filed under the name Babesia occultans. RNAcentral describes it as "SSU rRNA". It matches the Rfam family "Eukaryotic small subunit ribosomal RNA", at positions 511 to 923 of the family's 1831-position model. The record is from RNAcentral. Lineage: Eukaryota; Apicomplexa; Aconoidasida; Piroplasmida; Babesiidae.